CCUGAGAUCACCCUAAGUUUUUGGUGGGGUUCGUGUUGCUUAGUCUUUAGUUUUUUUAUGUUGUGUCUUCUGUACUAUUAUUUGUCUGUUUGUCUUUUUGUCUUUUUAUUUUUAGCCAUGGCGUUGUCAGUUUAUUUUCUAUCUUUGAGUUUGACUUUCCCUCUGGUAUUUUUUGAACUAAGUCCCUAGCUGGCGGUCAUCUUGGAUGAUAGAUGGGCUACAAAGUAACAACAUAUGGUCAGCACCUCAUAAGGAUCAU
This 259-nucleotide long non-coding RNA is filed under the name Mytilus galloprovincialis (Mediterranean mussel). Lineage: Eukaryota; Metazoa; Mollusca; Bivalvia; Mytilida; Mytilidae. The record is from RNAcentral.